This 607-nucleotide ribosomal RNA is filed under the name Arthrobacter sp. TB32-39. RNAcentral describes it as "bacterial SSU rRNA". It matches the Rfam family "Bacterial small subunit ribosomal RNA", at positions 98 to 711 of the family's 1533-position model. Lineage: Bacteria; Bacillati; Actinomycetota; Actinomycetes; Micrococcales; Micrococcaceae. The record is from RNAcentral.
GCGAACGGGUGAGUAACACGGUGUAGAUAACCUGCCCUUGACUUCGGGAUAAGCCUGGGAAACUGGGUCUAAUACCGGAUAUGCACCGUGGACCGCAUGGUUCUUGGUGGAAAGAUUUUUUGGUCAGGGAUGGACUCGCGGCCUAUCAGCUUGUUGGUGAGGUAAUGGCUCACCAAGGCGACGACGGGUAGCCGGCCUGAGAGGGUGACCGGCCACACUGGGACUGAGACACGGCCCAGACUCCUACGGGAGGCAGCAGUGGGGAAUAUUGCACAAUGGGCGAAAGCCUGAUGCAGCGACGCCGCGUGAGGGAUGACGGCCUUCGGGUUGUAAACCUCUUUCAGUAGGGAAGAAGCGAAAGUGACGGUACCUGCAGAAGAAGCGCCGGCUAACUACGUGCCAGCAGCCGCGGUAAUACGUAGGGCGCAAGCGUUAUCCGGAAUUAUUGGGCGUAAAGAGCUCGUAGGCGGUUUGUCGCGUCUAUCGUGAAAGUCCGAGGCUCAACCUCGGAUCUGCGGUGGGUACGGGCAGACUAGAGUGAUGUCAGGGGAGACUGGAAUUCCUGGGGUAGCGGUGGAAAUGCGCAGAUAUCCAGGGAGGAACACCG